CUACGGGUUGCACCAGUAAGGAAUAUUGCGCAAUGGAGGCAACUCUGACGCAGCCAUGCCGCGUGCAGGAAGAAGGCCUUAUGGGUCGUAAAUUGCUUUUAUUUAGGAAUAAACCCCCGAACGUGUUCGGGGCUGAAGGUACUAAACGAAUAAGCACCGGCUAACUCCGUGCCAGCAGCCGCGGUAAUACGGAGGGUGCAAGCGUUAUCCGGAUUUAUUGGGUUUAAAGGGUGCGCAGGCGGGCUAUUAAGUCAGUGGUGAAAUCCCGGGGCUCAACUCCGGAACUGCCAUUGAUACUGAUAGUCUUGAGUUUGGUUGAAGUGGGCGGAAUGUAGCAUGUAGCGGUGAAAUGCAUAGAUAUGCUACAGAACACCAAUCGCGAAGGCAGCUCACUAAGCCAAAACUGACGCUCAUGCACGAAAGCGUGGGGAUCAAACAGGAUUAGAUACCCUUGUAGUC
This 459-nucleotide ribosomal RNA is filed under the name uncultured bacterium. RNAcentral's name for it is "partial 16S ribosomal RNA". It matches the Rfam family "Bacterial small subunit ribosomal RNA", at positions 339 to 795 of the family's 1533-position model. The record is from RNAcentral.